CCUACGGGAUGCAGCAGUAGGGAAUCUUCGGCAAUGGACGAAAGUCUGACCGAGCAACGCCGCGUGAGUGAAGAAGGUUUUCGGAUCGUAAAACUCUGUUGUUAGAGAAGAACAAGUAGGAGAGUAACUGCUCUUACCUUGACGGUAUCUAACCAGAAAGCCACGGCUAACUACGUGCCAGCAGCCGCGGUAAUACGUAGGUGGCAAGCGUUGUCCGGAUUUAUUGGGCGUAAAGCGAGCGCAGGCGGUCUUUUAAGUCUGAUGUGAAAGCCCUCGGCUCAACCGAGGAAGGUCAUUGGAAACUGGAGGACUUGAGUGCAGAAGAGGUAAGUGGAAUUCCGAGUGUAGAGGUGAAAUUCGUAGAUAUUCGGAGGAACACCAGUGGCGAAGGCGGCUUACUGGUCUGCAACUGACGCUGAGGCGCGAAAGCGUGGGGAGCAAACAGGAUUAGAUACCCGCGUAGUC
RNAcentral lists this ribosomal RNA (465 nucleotides) under uncultured bacterium. Its description in RNAcentral is "bacterial SSU rRNA". It matches the Rfam family "Bacterial small subunit ribosomal RNA", at positions 338 to 795 of the family's 1533-position model. The record is from RNAcentral.